This 497-nucleotide ribosomal RNA is filed under the name uncultured bacterium. RNAcentral describes it as "partial 16S ribosomal RNA". It matches the Rfam family "Bacterial small subunit ribosomal RNA", at positions 28 to 507 of the family's 1533-position model. The record is from RNAcentral.
GAUGAACGCUGGCGGCGUGCCUAAUACAUGCAAGUCGAGCGAACAGAUGAGGAGCUUGCUCCUCUGACGUUAGCGGCGGACGGGUUAGUAACACGUGGAUAACCUACCUAUAAGACUGGGAUAACUUCGGGAAACCGGCGCUAAUACCGGAUAAUAUAUUGAACCGCAUGGUUCAAUAUUGAAAGACGGUUUUGCUGUCUCUUAUAGAUCGAUCCGCGCCGCAUUAGCUAGUUGGUAAGGUAACGGCUUACCAAGUCAACGAUGCGUAGCCGACAUGAGAGCGAGGUCGGACAGAUGGGAAGAGAGAAUGGGCACAGACACUGAGACGAAGAAACAGUAGGGAAUCUUACGGGAGGGAGGAAAGGGGAACAGAGCAAAAUGGGGGGAAGGAUGAAGGAGUCAGGAUCGGAAAACUAUGUUAGUAGGAAAGUACAAAUGUGUAAGUACCGAUGCAGAUAUUGACGGUAGUUAAACAGGAAGCCACGGCUAACUACGUG